This 468-nucleotide ribosomal RNA is filed under the name uncultured bacterium. Its description in RNAcentral is "partial 16S ribosomal RNA". It matches the Rfam family "Bacterial small subunit ribosomal RNA", at positions 28 to 507 of the family's 1533-position model. The record is from RNAcentral.
GACGAACGCUGGCGGCGUGCUUAACACAUGCAAGUCGAACGGAAAGGCCCUGCUUUUGUGGGGUGUUCGAGUGGCGAACGGGUGAGUAAAACGUGAGUAACCUGUCCUUGACAUUGGGAUAACAUAUGGAAACUGGGGCUAUAAUAGCGUAGGAGCACCUGCUGCAUGGGGGGGGAUGGAAAGAUACGGCGGUUCGUGAAGGAGUCGCGGUUUAGCAGUGUGUUGGCGAGGUGGUGGCUUAACAAGGCGUUGACGGGAGGCCGGCCUGGGAGGGUGACAGGCCACAUUGGGACUGAGAUACGGCCCGGACUCCUACGGGAGGCAGCGGUGGGGGAUAGUGCACACUGGGCGGAGGCCUGAUGCAGCAACGCCGCGUGCGGGAUGACGGCCUUCGGGUUGUAAACCUCGUUCGCCUGUGACGAAGCGUGAGUGACGGUAAUGGGUAAAGAAGCACCGGCUAACUACGUG